UACGGAGGAUCCAAGCGUUAUCCGGAAUCAUUGGGUUUAAAGGGUCCGUAGGCGGUUUAUUAAGUCAGUGGUGAAAUCCCGCAGCUCAACUGUGGAAUGGCCAUUGAUACUGAUAGACUUGAAUUAUUGGGAAGUAACUAGAAUAUGUAGUGUAGCGGUGAAAUGCUUAGAUAUUACAUGGAAUACCAAUUGCGAAGGCAGGUUACUACCAAUAUAUUGACGCUGAUGGACGAAAGCGUGGGGAGCGAACAGG
Molecule: ribosomal RNA, 253 nt
Filed under: uncultured bacterium
Lineage: Bacteria
Description: partial 16S ribosomal RNA
Rfam family: Bacterial small subunit ribosomal RNA
Source: RNAcentral